Long non-coding RNA from Amblyraja radiata (thorny skate), 188 nucleotides. RefSeq lists it as uncharacterized. The transcript is spliced from 2 exons. Lineage: Eukaryota; Metazoa; Chordata; Chondrichthyes; Rajiformes; Rajidae. The record is from RefSeq and is a predicted model, not a curated record.
CUCUCUCUGUCUCUCUUUGCCAGACGAGGCCGCCAUUGCUGGGUACAAGUGGCCCACUUCAAGCAAGGAGUAGCAAAUCAUGGAGGAAGCCGCGGGUCGAGUGGAAUGGACACAGAGGCUCCCAGCGCCGGACAGAAGCCGAAAACAAUCUCCAAGCAAGAAUCAGCCUCAAUAAAUGACUAAAUCAA